This 179-nucleotide non-coding RNA is filed under the name uncultured Alsobacter sp. The record is from RNAcentral. Lineage: Bacteria; Pseudomonadati; Pseudomonadota; Alphaproteobacteria; Hyphomicrobiales; Alsobacteraceae.
ACGGUCCCCGCAAGGGGCGAACAGGGAAUGCGGUGAGGACGGCGGCGACGCCAUCCGAUUCCGCGGCUGCCCCCGCAACUGUGAGCGGGUAGCCUCGCACCCGAAGGCCACUGGCCGCCACGGCGGUCGGGAAGGCGGUGCGAGGCGCCGAUCCGCGAGCCAGGAGACCUGCCGUCGCA